Molecule: long non-coding RNA, 1333 nt
Organism: Cavia porcellus (domestic guinea pig)
Lineage: Eukaryota; Metazoa; Chordata; Mammalia; Rodentia; Caviidae
Exons: 2
Source: RefSeq, a predicted model, not a curated record
AGGCAGGCUCCGUGGCAGGGAGGCGGGGCUCUGGGAAGGGAAGGAGGCAGAGAUUGUGCAAGCCCCGUGGCAUUUAGGGCAGGACGUGGCUCGGAGAGGGUGUGACUUGCUGGGAGUUACGUGUGACUUUGAGGACAGACCUCGGCCGCUAAGGAAGCUCUUUAGGGUCCCUCCGAGCGCGGCUUCUCUGUUAUCAUCUCAGCUCAUGCAGAGGAUCGAACCCAAAUGUCCUCUUCCCGCGGAGUUACAGCGUUUCACUCCGCCCUAAGGCUCAGCCUCGUCACCUCCUCCCAGGGCUGCCAGGCUGACUGAAAUAGUCUGCUGUUGCUCCUCCUGACAUGCCGUGGCAGGAGCUCCACGUUCUCCAGACCCGGCUACUUUUCUGGGUAGCACGUUUCUGCAGCUGUGGAGACGGAGGGGUGAAGACUAGCCUGCCAGAAGUCACAGUCAGUGCUUGCCAGACCCUAACUUCGGCCAGGUUUGGUUUAAAGCUGGUCCCACCCUUCCAGUUCCUGCCCUGAAUCAACAGAAACCCUUGGUGUGGUUUGUGAAAUACCCUCUAUUCGCGGUCUGGUGCUGCUCUGUGGGGCUAUUCCUGGUUUUCGAGUAGCAGGCUGUGCUCUGUAACCUGCAAUUGAGAUUCCUCGGCUUGCUUCUAAUCUUAGAGCCUGCCUCCCUGAUAGAAAUGCUGCCAGCUCGAGCAACACGAUCAGGGGAAUGGAGCAGAGAUGCUUUGCAGAUGAGUCAGGUUCUGCUUUCCUGUCCAGGUCAAGAAGCACCUUGCGUUCAUCUUCACACUCUUCGGAAAGAAGCUGCUGGACUCCUUCGGACAAGUAGGUGGCGGGACUUUUCCCGGCCACCAUCAGCAAAAGGCGAAUUUGUUGGGGCAGGAGUGGGGCUGUAGACCCUCACCUUGCAGCCCUGCUCAGCGGGCAAGAGGGUUUCUCCUGAGUGGCGGCCUCCAAAAUCAGCCCUGGAAGCAUCAGCUCAGCCCUCGGAGUCUCGGGCUCCAGUGUGGCUCCACCACGAAGCCACUGGGAGCUGGCAGCGGCACUGUCCCUCUUCAGGACCCAUUUUCCCCUUUGUUGGUGCCUUCCUAGGGCCCAGGGACCGGGCCUUGGAUGGGGUCCUGCGCCAUGUGGGACCCGCUCAGCCCGCCUUGGGUGAGGACUGCAUAUGCACUGGACAGUUCUGAAGCCAGUGGAGCUGCAGCUCCAGCGCCAGCCCCUCCCGAUGCACCUCUCAGGCCUUGGGUUACUUGUCUCUGGGUUUCUCUCCCGAGUGCAGUGCGUGCUGGAAACGGAAACGAUUAAAAUCCCUUUGUUUAUGUGGC